GGAUUUUCCCUCGGCUUUUCCUGGAAGCCUGGGCAAAGCCAGCCCCUCAGGGCCGUGGCACCCGGAUCUCCCAGCUCCACGUGGAGAGAGGAUGAGGGCGACAGUCCUCUGUGACCAGAGGAGAUGCAGAGCCAGGGCUCCGCCUGCAGAGGCUCUCGUCCAUUUGACAGGCACCCUGUCCUGCCAGGUCUCUGCCCCGUUCCUGUGUCUCUCUGGCUGUAGGAAGCAGCAGGACCUUCAGAGUGUGGGGAUAUGCACCUUAGUGAGGCCGUGGUUUUACUCAGGCUGCAGAGCAUCCUCCUACCUCGAGAUGAAGGGCACAGGGAGACGGAGCACCAGGACUGCCGCCAGUGGGAACGCGCUGCACCCGCAGAGCACAGCCAGCUGUGGCCACCGUGGGAAGCAGAGUGGACAGACCGGAGUGGAGAGUGCCCCGUGGAUUGCCCUCCCCUACCCUGUCCUUGAGUGGGGACCCAGCGUGACCGCACGGACAAGACAGGAUCCAAGCGCAGCAGGAAGCAGGGGCCGAGUGCCUGAGCGACUGCGUGGAACGAGCUGCUCAGGGCAUGGGCACUGGCCUUGCACCAAGGAGGAAGAAAUAUAGGUGCACGAACGGAGGGUGUUUGUAAGAGAAAAAACCCUCAGCAGGAAGGUGGUCAAGUCAAUUCUGGUACAUCCAGAUGACGGGAAACUGUGCAGUUUUGUUUGAACGAGGCAGCUCUAUAUGUGGUGAUUUAGAAAAAUGAAAAUGCACGCCAGGGAAGAACACAGAGUGGGG
Molecule: long non-coding RNA, 778 nt
Filed under: Equus asinus (donkey)
Lineage: Eukaryota; Metazoa; Chordata; Mammalia; Perissodactyla; Equidae
Description: lncRNA (ENSEASG00005032657.1)
Source: RNAcentral